CUUUACUAUAACUUUGCAGUGGCAUUAGAAAUAGCAUGUGUAGCAUAGUUGGGACGCUUUGAAACCUGGGCGCUAGCUUGGGCGGAGCGGAAAUGUGAAAUACCAACCUUGUUGUUUCUGAUGUCUAACCGGAACUGUUAUCCAGUUUCGGGACCCUGCAUGGCGGGUAGUUUGACUGGGGCGGUCGCCUCCCAAAUUGUAACGGAGGCGCGCAAUGGUUGGCUCAAUCUGGUCGGAAAUCAGAUUUAGAGUGUAUUGGCAUAAGCCAGCCUGACUGCAAGACUGACAAGUCGAGCAGAGACGAAAGUCGGUCAAAGUGAUCCGGUGAUUCUGUAUGGAAGGGUCAUCGCUCAACGAAUAAAAGGUA
Molecule: ribosomal RNA, 367 nt
Filed under: uncultured organism
Description: bacterial LSU rRNA
Rfam family: Bacterial large subunit ribosomal RNA
Source: RNAcentral